RNAcentral lists this ribosomal RNA (460 nucleotides) under uncultured bacterium. Its description in RNAcentral is "partial 16S ribosomal RNA". It matches the Rfam family "Bacterial small subunit ribosomal RNA", at positions 338 to 795 of the family's 1533-position model. The record is from RNAcentral.
CCUACGGGAGGCAGCAGUGAGGAAUAUUGGUCAAUGGACGAGAGCCUGAACCAGCCAAGUAGCGUGAAGGAUGACUGCCCUAUGGGUUGUAAACUUCUUUUAUAUGGGAAUAAAAUGUUCCACGUGUGGGAUUUUGUAUGUACCAUAUGAAUAAGGAUCGGCUAACUCCGUGCCAGCAGCCGCGGUAAUACGGAGGGUCCGAGCGUUAUCCGGAUUUAUUGGGUUUAAAGGGAGCGUAGGUGGAUUGUUAAGUCAGUUGUGAAAGUUUGCGGGUCAACCGUAAAAUUGCAGUUGAAACUGGCAGUCUUGAGUACAGUAGAGGUAGGCGGAAUUCGUGGUGUAGCGGUGAAAUGCUUAGAUAUCACGAAGAACUCCGAUUGCGAAGGCAGCUCACUGGACUGCAACUGACACUGAGGCUCGAAAGUGUGGGUAUCAAACAGGAUUAGAUACCCGUGUAGUC